UCCGAGUUGACCCCGGCAGUCUCCCAUGAGUCCCCGGCAUAACCCGCUGGCAACAUGGAACGAGGGUUGCGCUCGUUGCGGGACUUAACCCAACAUCUCACGACACGAGCUGACGACAACCAUGCACCACCUGUAAACCGGCCACAAGUGGCCGACACAUCUCUGCGCCGUUCCGGUUCAUGUCAAGCCUUGGUAAGGUUCUUCGCGUUGCAUCGAAUUAAUCCGCAUGCUCCGCCGCUUGUGCGGGCCCCCGUCAAUUCCUUUGAGUUUUAGCCUUGCGGCCGUACUCCCCAGGCGGGGCACUUAAUGCGUUAGCUACGGCGCGGAAAACGUGGAAUGUCCCCCACACCUAGUGCCCAACGUUUACGGCAUGGACUAC
This 379-nucleotide unclassified non-coding RNA is filed under the name Arthrobacter subterraneus. Its description in RNAcentral is "contains 16S-23S intergenic spacer region". Lineage: Bacteria; Bacillati; Actinomycetota; Actinomycetes; Micrococcales; Micrococcaceae. The record is from RNAcentral.